GGGCGAGGAGGCAGCGGCGGGCCUGGCGAUUGGUCGAGCCAGGCAGGGGGAAGCAGCGCUGGGUUCGGUUGAGCCCCUGCCCUGUGGAGAAGUGGGCGGGCCGAGGCGGUACGGCGCGUGCGCGCUAAGGCCGGCCUCCGGGGCGCUGGGGGCGGGGCGCCGGCGCCGCGUGGGGCUGCCUGGCGCGUGCCCGGCGCUGAGGGCGCAUGCGCGUGCGCCGGCGACCCCGCGGCCCCCACCCCCAACCCUCCCAGGGGCGGCCGCAUCUGAGCGGCCGUUAACAGCUGGCCGGGAUGGUGUCGCGGGAGGACCUUUAACCGUUGGCCGUUUGCCUUUUGGGGGCAGGCUCGUCCCUUCGGGGCCGGCCUCGGAGCGGCAGAGGAGCAGAAUCGGCACCUCUGGGGGGCUGUCGCCGCGGAGCGCGGCGAGGGCCGCUUGUGGCGCGGCCGGAAGGAGCCUGGAGCUGCCCCCACUCUCGGCCUCCCUCCCGGCUCGGGAGGCGUCUGCGGCUGCACAGCUGCAGCCCGGUUUGUGCCCAGCUCCCGGCCCUGGAGGUGGAGUGGCCAUCCCUGUUAGCCCGGACUAAGGGAUGACUAAGGCCCUGCCUGGCUGCCCACUAGAAAGGGAGCUACACCUACACUGUAAUUGUAGAUUCUUUCUUUCAUCUUGAAAGCGGUGUGGUAACUCGGUGAGACAGGAAGCACGAAUCUGGGACGUCUGGAUGCCUGUCGGCAUGAACUUUGUAGUUGCUUUCCCGGCUCAUAGUGAAGUCUAGGGAAGGUUCUCCAGGAAGACAGACUUCACAGUCUUAUCCAUGCACGUUGUCAUCACUAGCUUUGGGUGGUGUAUUGGAAUUUAGCUCUGAAAAAACUUACACCAGUGUUUUAACCCAAAAAAAAGUUCACUGUGACUUCAAAAUGCAUUGUUAGAAAUUUUGAGUCAGGACAUUUUGAAAAGCAGCUGAAAACUGUCAUAAGUAAUUACAUGAAACAUUAUUUAUGAAGAAUUAUUUUGUUCCGUUCCGUUGGUCAGCCAUCGAAAGGAGGUGCAUCUGCUGAUAAAGUGCAAGUUUGAACCAGCAUUACCCAUCAAAUAAGCAUAGGAAGCUCACAUACCUCUGCACUGCACCAUGCUGUGACUUGUGGGCUCUGCACUGAUAUGAUAUGCAGCUAAGCAGACAAUAUUUCCUUCAACUUUGAUAGCAGAUUACUACCCAGCCAACAGUCUCAGUGAAGUUUAUUAUUAAGGAUUUAUCCAUGGAGAUUUGUGGUUGAAACCAAACCAGCUCAAGAAGUAGAGAUCCUUCUUUGGCUAACUAUGUUUGCAACUAAAUGAGACGUGAAUAUACCUUAAGCAAUCUGCUCUCUGUAGGCACAAAGGCAGUGCAGCGUGACAGCAUCAAGGCUGCAUCCAGACAAGUUAUCUCACGUACCACAGAUGGGAUAGUUGCCUUGGUGCUGUACUGCUCUGUGGGAAGGAAUUAUCAUUACAAAUAACCUUCUAUUCUGCAGAAGAGACAUAUUUAAUUAGACAUUUAAAUCUCUUUUGCAUUUUCCGUAAGAAGACUGGGAUAAAGACUGGAGAAAAGGCGUAUGAGCAGGAUAAAAUAAGGUCACAGAUACCCGCUGAUCGCAGUGAUGCUAGAAUAAUGCUUCCACAGCAGGCUGGCUGGACACAGGGAUGGGGGACCAUCCCACUCGGCGGAAGUCAAUCGGAGAAAAUGAGAAAACCCAGGCAAUGAAAAACUCCUGAAGCCAGAUGGUCGUCAUCAGAAAACCUUCAAAGGGAGCAGAAGGUCAGGGAGGAACGCUACCAGAUCGGAAGGGCUGCGUUCUACAUUCAGGGAGAGAGAGGACACGGUUCACAACAACCUCGUCUCAAUCAUUUCCUUACCGCUGUUAACAAUUCCACGUGUUUCGUGUGGCAAUCACGGCUCCUUGGAAAAACGAUAGUAGGACCACAGCAAAGAGGGAAGAGAAAGUUAAACACUUUGAUGAUUAUUUUUUUCCUCUUCAGCAUAGGAAGUUACGGAGCUGUAUUUUGCAACUAUUACCAGCAACCCACCUCUCCUGGCUUGAAGCUCCCACCAACACUGGAUGGUGAACCCAACACCAGUUUGUGGACAGGCACUGUAUUUCCAUGUCCCAACUUUACUGCCUUCCUCAGAGUCAAUGUUUUCUGUUACUGUGAUUACAGUUGUGUUUAGUAAUAAUACAACCCACACAGAAACCAAAUAAGGUUAAAAGGCACUAUCUUGUGUUUGUUAAUGUCAUUAGGGGAAAAGAAGCCUUUGGAAGACCCAGCGCCCCAUGGCCAGGAUGGAUGCUAAUAGGACACAUCCCAGCAGGAAGACUGAUGCAUGCUUCAUCCCAAUGCUGGAAGGAGUUCAUCUCCGAGCCAAAAUCUCGCUCCUACUGUUUAUAGAUAAACACUGGCUCACUGAACUACCUCCCUUUUUACAGUUCAUUACUGCACAGUCUUUCAGAGGGGUUGGCUCCUAUUCAAUGUCAUGGGUUCAGAGCUGCAGAAAAGCACCUUUCAGGGGGGUCUAGCCUUCUCUCCAAUCCCCUGGCUACUCAGUGUGCUAGGUAAUAUUUCACUAAGUCUCUGGCUUAGAAACGCUCAUUCCUAGAUCCUCUAAUAAUCCCAAGGGAACAGAAAUCCCAUCGAUCCUGUGUACCACAGGUAAUUAGAACUGUGGCCACAUCUCAUUCCCAGAAAGUUGUGAGGGUCGGGGUUUUAAAUGUCAAAUGCCUUCCAGUGGACUCAGCGCUCUGCCGCUGAAUAAUGCAGCCUAUAAAUUGAAAGUGCCUUUAAAAGAUGACUUUAUUCUUUAGUGUCUUCAAUUAGCACUGCUGUAUUUUAAAAACAAAGCUGGUAUUUCUCCUACUCAUAGGAUAGUAGGAUUGUCCUGGAAGGUAUCCCAUUGUGUGUGUUAUAAUUUUUAAUUUUCCUAAUAAUUUUUAUGGUUCCCUUCAAAUAAUUUUCUCUCUCUUGUGUACUCAUAUUUUCACUUUUGAUUGCAGGCAAUUCAUUUCUAUUACCUUAGAAAAGCAUUCUGAAACUUUUUGUGAUAAGUUUGUUGUAUUUAUCUAGUCGCUAGCCUGUGAUGAAAGUUACUUCUGCAAAGGAUCAGUCAAAAACCUUUUACUGGCAACCUAUAUAGCUCUGCUGUAAGGGGUUAAUCUUUUAUUAGACUAAAGUUACUGCAAAAGCUGCCAUUCAGUUGUUUAAUAGGUUUUCUUAAUUCUAAUCUUCUGCACUUUAAGAAAUAGCUAGAAGUGCAGGCUAAAAAAAGCUCUUCAGGCUUUACUGCAGUUGCAUGGUUUCCUUUGCAUGAAUUGGUAAUUAUUUAUAGUCUUUCAUAAAAAAAAAAUCCUUUUUUUUCCUCCCCAGCCAAUCUUAUUAAACAUUUAGGAGGUACUGAGAAGCACAAACUCUUUAUUGGGUGAAUUGUGAAAGUCAAUUUAUACAGACGCGUACGUGGCUUCCACAAACUCAUGCUGGCCACUGGUGCUUUCAGCCACAUCUCUGGCAGGAAGUAAUUUAUUUGAAUUCGAAGGUGAUUUUGAAAUAAAAGAAAAUGCACAUCCUUUUGGGUACCACUCAGCUACAGAUAAAAAAAUAUUAUCACCUCUGGGAGAGCUGAUUAGAGCCAUUUAUAAUUGCACUGACUUGCUUCAGUAUUAAAAUGCCUAAUACAAUUAGCUCUCUCCUUAUAAGAUGGAAAUUUUGUUUCUGAGCAUACAUUUCAUUUGAAAACGCACAUUGUUUAUGGAUGUUUUGCAGCCUAAGUUCUCAGCACCAAGUGGGACUGAGAGUGGCUGAACCAAAAAUUACUCUGCUACGUCCUGGUAGGAAUGUAUAUUUAAAGUUUUUGUGACUUUGGUAGUUGCUGCAAUAAUAAAAUAAUUUUGCCUUAAGACUGAA
Molecule: long non-coding RNA, 3930 nt
Organism: Dromaius novaehollandiae (emu)
Lineage: Eukaryota; Metazoa; Chordata; Aves; Casuariiformes; Dromaiidae
Exons: 8
Source: RefSeq, a predicted model, not a curated record